This 218-nucleotide long non-coding RNA is filed under the name Ananas comosus (pineapple). Its description in RNAcentral is "long non-coding RNA (ACOM_LNC000539)". Lineage: Eukaryota; Viridiplantae; Streptophyta; Magnoliopsida; Poales; Bromeliaceae. The record is from RNAcentral.
AUUUCUUAUUUGCCCUUAAAUUAAGGGCAAAAGUGGUAUUUUAUUUUUUUUUAACUGUGGUAGAUAUUUGACUCACGUUUAACCUAAGUUAACUUAACUGGUGAUAACUGUAGGGGUAUUUUGGAAUAACAUAGGAACAUAUGAAGGGUAUAUUGGAAAGAAAAAAAAGUAGGGGUAAAUGAGAUAUUUUCGAAGUUUUGAGGGGUAUAUAGGCAAUU